UGGGGAAUAUUGCACAAUGGGCGAAAGCCUGAUGCAGCGACGCCGCGUGAGGGAUGAAGGCCUUCGGGUUGUAAACCUCUUUCAGCAGGGAAGAAGCGAAAGUGACGGUACCUGCAGAAGAAGCACCGGCUAACUACGUGCCAGCAGCCGCGGUAAUACGUAGGGUGCGAGCGUUGUCCGGAAUUAUUGGGCGUAAAGAGCUUGUAGGCGGUUUGUCGCGUCUGCCGUGAAAAUCCGGGGCUCAACCCCGGACUUGCGGUGGGUACGGGCAGACUAGAGUGUGGUAGGGGAGACUGGAAUUCCUGGUGUAGCGGUGAAAUGCGCAGAUAUCAGGAGGAACACCGAUGGCGAAGGCAGGUCUCUGGGCCACUACUGACGCUGAGAAGCGAAAGCGUGGGGAGCGAACA
RNAcentral lists this ribosomal RNA (407 nucleotides) under uncultured bacterium. RNAcentral's name for it is "bacterial SSU rRNA". It matches the Rfam family "Bacterial small subunit ribosomal RNA", at positions 355 to 774 of the family's 1533-position model. The record is from RNAcentral.